GAUGAACGCUGGCGGCGUGCCUAAUACAUGCAAGUCGAGCGAACAGACGAGGAGCUUGCUCCUCUGACGUUAGCGGCGGACGGGUGAGUAACACGUGGAUAACCUACCUAUAAGACUGGGAUAACUUCGGGAAACCGGAGCUAAUACCGGAUAAUAUAUUGAACCGCAUGGUUCAAUAGUGAAAGACGGUUUUGCUGUCACUUAUAGAUGGAUCCGCGCCGGAUUAGCUAGUUGGUAAGGUAACGGCUUACCAAGGCAACGAUGCGUAGCCGACCUGAGAGGGUGAUCGGCCACACUGGAACUGAGACACGGUCCAGACUCCUACGGGAGGCAGCAGUAGGGAAUCUUCCGCAAAGGGCGAAAGCCUGACGGAGCAACGCCGCGUGAGUGAUGAAGGUCUUCGGAUCGUAAAACUCUGUUAUUAGGGAAGAACAAAUGUGUAAGUAACUAUGCACGUCUUGACGGUACCUAAUCAGAAAGCCACGGCUAACUACGUG
This 497-nucleotide ribosomal RNA is filed under the name uncultured bacterium. RNAcentral's name for it is "partial 16S ribosomal RNA". It matches the Rfam family "Bacterial small subunit ribosomal RNA", at positions 28 to 507 of the family's 1533-position model. The record is from RNAcentral.